Molecule: non-coding RNA, 657 nt
Organism: Ictidomys tridecemlineatus (thirteen-lined ground squirrel)
Lineage: Eukaryota; Metazoa; Chordata; Mammalia; Rodentia; Sciuridae
Source: RefSeq, a predicted model, not a curated record
CCCGCGAGACCAUACUUCAUUUCACAAGAGCAGCGCUUCAACCUGCGAGACCAGACCCGUGCGGUGCCGGGAAGACUUGUACCUUGUCCCGCAAGGCAAAGGAAGGCCUUAAUGGUCCUGAAAGUUGAGCGAAAGCCUGAUGAGGCUGGGUGGAACUGUUAGUGGCCCUCGGUCACUUGGUGUCCCUCCUACUGAGGAGAUAAAAGAUGAUGUGAAGAAGACUUUGACCGGGAGAAGGAGGAGGUCCUGUGCCAGAGAGGUUUUAUGUAAAAGAUAUUUUCCUAUUAUAACCAUUGUUUUGAGCCUUCUGAAAUGAAGACCCAAAGGCAAAAGGAAAAUCUGUGUGUUCUUAUGCUUCUGUUUGAAGGGUGGAUGGCUCUGCAGAAGAUCCUACCACCACCUCUGAAAUGAGGGUCUUUUGACCUAACUGAAGGAAAAGUUGGCUAAGCCUUAUGGAUGUUUCAGGGAAGUAAGGGUGAGGGGAAGGAGAGAGUGACCCUGCUUCUGCUGUUUUCCCAGAUGCCAAGGUGCUGCAUUUUGGGGUCACAUAUUCUGAAUCCCAUCAUCAAAAAUUUGUUGUUCAUAUGUGUGGAUUCUUAUAUUUUUGUGUACUUUUUCAAUUAUCAAAUAAAUUGUGUUUAAAGGUUGCACAUUAUA